GCUCAGGACGAACGCUGGCGGCGUGCUUAACACAUGCAAGUCGAGCGGUAAGGCCUUUCAGGGUACACUAGCGGCGAACGGGUGAGUAACACGUGGGUGAUCUGCCCUGCACUCUGGGAUAAGCUUGGGAAACUGGGUCUAAUACCGGAUAUGACCACAGCAUGCAUGUGUUGUGGUGGAAAGAUUUAUCGGUGCAGGAUGGGCCCGCGGCCUAUCAGCUUGUUGGUGGGGUAAUGGCUCACCAAGGCUUCGACGGGUAGCCGGCCUGAGAGGGUGACCGGCCACACUGGGACUGAGACACGGCCCAGGCUCCUACGGGAGGCAGCAGUGGGGAAUAUUGGACAAUGGGCGAAAGCCUGAUCCAGCAACGCCGCGUGAGGGAUGACGGCCUUCGGGUUGUAAACCUCUUUCAGCGGGGACGAAGCGAAAGUGACGGUACCCGCAGAAGAAGGACCGGCCAACUACGUGCCAGCAGCCGCGGUAAUACGUAGGGUCCGAGCGUUGUCCGGAAUUAUUGGGCGUAAAGGGCUCGUAGGCGGUUUGUCGCGUCGGGAGUGAAAACACGGGGCUUAACCCCGUGCCUGCUUCCGAUACGGGCAGACUAGAGGUAUGCAGGGGAGAACGGAAUUCCUGGUGUAGCGGUGAAAUGCGCAGAUAUCAGGAGGAACACCGGUGGCGAAGGCGGUUCUCUGGGCAUUACCUGACGCUGAGGAGCGAAAGUGUGGGGAGCGAACAGGAUUAGAUACCCUGGUAGUCCACACCGUAAACGUUGGGCGCUAGGUGUGGGGCUCAUUCCACGAGUUCCGUGCCGCAGCUAACGCAUUAAGCGCCCCGCCUGGGGAGUACGGCCGCAAGGCUAAAACUCAAAUGAAUUGACGG
Molecule: ribosomal RNA, 879 nt
Filed under: uncultured bacterium
Lineage: Bacteria
Description: bacterial SSU rRNA
Rfam family: Bacterial small subunit ribosomal RNA
Source: RNAcentral